UACGUAGGGGGCAAGCGUUGUCCGGAAUCAUUGGGCGUAAAGCGCGCGUAGGCGGCCCGAUCAGUCCGCUGUAAAAGUCCAGGGCUCAACCCUGGAAAGCCGGUGGAUACUGUCGGGCUAGAGUCCGGAAGAGGCGAGUGGAAUUCCUGGUGUAGCGGUGGAAUGCGCAGAUAUCAGGAGGAACACCGAUAGCGAAGGCAGCUCGCUGGGACGGGACUGACGCUGAGGUGCGAAAGCGUGGGGAGCGAACAGG
RNAcentral lists this ribosomal RNA (253 nucleotides) under uncultured bacterium. Its description in RNAcentral is "partial 16S ribosomal RNA". It matches the Rfam family "Bacterial small subunit ribosomal RNA", at positions 524 to 776 of the family's 1533-position model. The record is from RNAcentral.